CUUUAAUGGAGAGUUUGAUCCUGGCUCAGGACGAACGCUGGCGGCGUGCCUAAUACAUGCAAGUCGAGCGGAGUUAUUCCUUCGGGGAUAACUUAGCGGCGGACGGGUGAGUAACACGUAGGCAACCUGCCUGUAAGACUGGGAUAACUACCGGAAACGGUAGCUAAGACCGGAUACACGAUUUGAUCGCAUGAUCG
Molecule: ribosomal RNA, 197 nt
Filed under: Paenibacillus selenitireducens
Lineage: Bacteria; Bacillati; Bacillota; Bacilli; Caryophanales; Paenibacillaceae
Description: partial 16S ribosomal RNA
Rfam family: Bacterial small subunit ribosomal RNA
Source: RNAcentral